ACCAGCUUUCGGGAGAACCUCCCUUUCUCAAGUCUGAAGCAUUUCUGUCGUCUUGCUCAGAAAUGCUUCAGACUUGAGAAAGGGAGGUUCUCCCGAAAGCUGG
Molecule: microRNA precursor, 103 nt
Filed under: Pelobates cultripes (western spadefoot toad)
Lineage: Eukaryota; Metazoa; Chordata; Amphibia; Anura; Pelobatidae
Source: RNAcentral